RNAcentral lists this ribosomal RNA (253 nucleotides) under uncultured bacterium. RNAcentral's name for it is "partial 16S ribosomal RNA". It matches the Rfam family "Bacterial small subunit ribosomal RNA", at positions 524 to 776 of the family's 1533-position model. The record is from RNAcentral.
UACGAAGGGGGCUAGCGUUGCUCGGAAUCACUGGGCGUAAAGCGCACGUAGGCGGAUCUUUAAGUCAGGGGUGAAAUCCUGGAGCUCAACUCCAGAACUGCCUUUGAUACUGGGGAUCUCGAGUCCGGAAGAGGUGAGUGGAACUCCGAGUGUAGAGGUGAAAUUCGUAGAUAUUCGGAAGAACACCAGUGGCGAAGGCGGCGCACUGGUCCGGUACUGACGCUGAGGUGCGAAAGCGUGGGGAGCAAACAGG